CUUUAGCUCAAUGGAUAGAGCGUCGGACUUCGAAUCCGCAGGUUGCAAGUUCGAGUCUUGUAGG
This 64-nucleotide transfer RNA is filed under the name human gut metagenome. It matches the Rfam family "tRNA", at positions 5 to 66 of the family's 71-position model. Rfam says of the family: Transfer RNA (tRNA) molecules are approximately 80 nucleotides in length. Their secondary structure includes four short double-helical elements and three loops (D, anti-codon, and T loops). The record is from RNAcentral.